This 459-nucleotide ribosomal RNA is filed under the name uncultured bacterium. RNAcentral's name for it is "partial 16S ribosomal RNA". It matches the Rfam family "Bacterial small subunit ribosomal RNA", at positions 338 to 795 of the family's 1533-position model. The record is from RNAcentral.
CCUACGGGGGGCUGCAGUGAGGAAUAUUGGUCAAUGGGCGCGAGCCUGAACCAGCCAAGCCGCGUGAGGGAAGACGGUCCUAUGGAUUGUAAACCUCUUUUGUCGGGGAGCAAAAGACGCCACGCGUGGCGUUCCGAGAGUACCCGAAGAAAAAGCAUCGGCUAACUCCGUGCCAGCAGCCGCGGUAAUACGGAGGAUGCGAGUGUUAUCCGGAUUUAUUGGGUUUAAAGGGUGCGCAGGCGGAAGAUCAAGUCAGCGGUAAAAUUGAGAGGCUCAACCUCUUCGAGCCGUUGAAACUGGUUUUCUUGAGUGAGUGAGAGGUAUGCGGAAUGCGCGGUGUAGCGGUGAAAUGCGUAGAUAUCGCGCAGAACCCCGAUUGCGAAGGCAGCGUGCCGGCUCCACACUGACGCUGAGGCACGAAAGCGUGGGUAUCGAACAGGAUUAGAUACCCUGGUAGUC